AUUGAACGCUGGCGGCAUGCUUUACACAUGCAAGUCGAACGGUAACAGGCCGCAAGGUGCUGACGAGUGGCGAACGGGUGAGUAAUGCAUCGGAACGUGCCCAGUCGUGGGGGAUAACUACUCGAAAGAGUAGCUAAUACCGCAUACGAUCUAUGGAUGAAAGCGGGGGACCGUAAGGCCUCGCGCGAUUGGAGCGGCCGAUGUCAGAUUAGGUAGUUGGUGGGGUAAAGGCUCACCAAGCCAACGAUCUGUAGCUGGUCUGAGAGGGCGACCAGCCACACUGGGACUGAGACACGGCCCAGACUCCUACGGGAGGCAGCAGUGGGGAAUUUUGGACAAUGGGCGCAAGCCUGAUCCAGCAAUGCCGCGUGCAGGAAGAAGGCCUUCGGGUUGUAAACUGCUUUUGUACGGAACGAAACGGCUCUGGCUAAUACCCGGGGCUAAUGACGGUACCGGAAGAAUAAGCACCGGCUAACUACGUG
This 482-nucleotide ribosomal RNA is filed under the name uncultured bacterium. Its description in RNAcentral is "partial 16S ribosomal RNA". It matches the Rfam family "Bacterial small subunit ribosomal RNA", at positions 30 to 507 of the family's 1533-position model. The record is from RNAcentral.